This 497-nucleotide ribosomal RNA is filed under the name uncultured bacterium. RNAcentral describes it as "partial 16S ribosomal RNA". It matches the Rfam family "Bacterial small subunit ribosomal RNA", at positions 28 to 507 of the family's 1533-position model. The record is from RNAcentral.
GAUGAACGCUGGCGGCGUGCCUAAUACAUGCAAGUCGAGCGAACGGACGAGAAGCUUGCUUCUCUGAUGUUAGCGGCGGACGGGUGAGUAACACGUGGAUAACCUACCUAUAAGACUGGGAUAACUUCGGGAAACCGGAGCUAAUACCGGAUGAUAUUUUGAACCGCAUGGUUCAAAAGUGAAAGACGGUCUUGCUGUCACUUAUAGAUGGAUCCGCGCUGCAUUAGCUAGUUGGUAAGGUAACGGCUUACCAAGGCAACGAUGCAUAGCCGACCUGAGAGGGGGAUCGGCAACACUGGAACGGAGACACGGUCCAGACUCCUACGGGAGGCAGCAGUAGGGAAUCUUCCGCAAUGGGCGAAAGCCUGACGGAGAAACGCCGCGUGAGUGAGGAAGGUCUUCGGAUCGUAAAACUCUGUUAUUAGGGAAGAACAUAUGUGUAAGUAACUGUGCACAUCUUGACGGUACCUAAUCAGAAAGCCACGGCUAACUACGUG